Long non-coding RNA from Erinaceus europaeus (western European hedgehog), 751 nucleotides. RefSeq lists it as uncharacterized. The record is from RefSeq and is a predicted model, not a curated record. Lineage: Eukaryota; Metazoa; Chordata; Mammalia; Eulipotyphla; Erinaceidae. The transcript has 3 exons.
CAACCACUUCUCCAAGGCCUUGGAGCCUUGGAGCUGGCCUCCUGCCUCUCUACCUGACACCACCCCAUUAGGCCAUCAAACUCCUCUCAGCACAGGUGCUGUACAUGUAUGAUUCCAUGACUGUCAGUGGAUUAUGGAGCUGCCCUGGUGCCAUGCAUGAUGCUCUGGUGUGCUGUCAGGGGCUCGAGCCUGGACCCUUGUGCAUGACACCAAGCUACAGCUGCUAUCAUGAUUCCAUCCUGACUUCUCUGGGCAGACAAUCUCACCAAUGUGUUCUGAAAUCUCACCUUUCCAGAGCUCUACCCCUCCAGGGAAUGAUAGAAACAGGGGGUAUGGAUCAACCUGCCAAUGCCCAUGUCCAGCAGAGAAGCAAUUACAGAAGCCACAACCCCUACCUUCAGCACCCAAAAACAAUUUUGAUCCAUACUCCCAGUGGGGGAGAAAUGAUAGGAAGAAGAAGAAAAGAGGGUUCUGAACUCCAGCUCCAUCAGGAACCAGAAAGAGAAGAGGAAAAGGGAGGGACAUUUGGAUGUAGUAACAGGAUUAUGUGGGCUUGGAGGGGAAGAGAGGACUGGACCUGGAAGAAAAAGGGGGCAAUUAUGUACAAAGGCAGACAGUUGUAGAGAUGAUAGUUAACCAUUGUCUGCAACCUUAGGAGAAUUGCUAUGGCUUGCAAUGGAGGGAUUGAGGAUUCAGAACUCUGGUGGUAGGAAUGGUGUGGAAUUAUACACCUGUUGGCAUUUAAUUUUGU